UACGAAGGGUGCAAACGUUGCUCGGAAUUACUGGGCGUAAAGGGCGCGUAGGCGGCCAACUAAGUCGGAUGUGAAAUCCCCAGGCUCAACUUGGGAACUGCAUCCGAUACUGGUCGGCUUGAAUCCGGGAGAGGGAUGCAGAAUUCCAGGUGUAGCGGUGAAAUGCGUAGAUAUCUGGAGGAAUACCGGUGGCGAAGGCGGCAUCCUGGACCGGCAUUGACGCUGAUGUGCGAAAGCUAGGGGAGCAAACGGG
This 253-nucleotide ribosomal RNA is filed under the name uncultured bacterium. RNAcentral's name for it is "partial 16S ribosomal RNA". It matches the Rfam family "Bacterial small subunit ribosomal RNA", at positions 524 to 776 of the family's 1533-position model. The record is from RNAcentral.